GUGGCGAUGAUGAUUGGCGCAGGGGUACGGACCUCAGCUGGAUCAUGGGAGCUGAAUGUGAGCCGCGCCUUCCCUCGGGCGGACGUGUGGUUGGCCCCGGGGAGCACGUUCACAUGAGAGUUUCGCCGGGAACUGAGCCAC
This is a small nucleolar RNA of Tachyglossus aculeatus (Australian echidna), 141 nucleotides long. RefSeq annotates it as small nucleolar RNA SNORD94. The record is from RefSeq and is a predicted model, not a curated record. The transcript has a single exon. NCBI's taxonomy places the organism in Eukaryota, Metazoa, Chordata, Mammalia, Monotremata, Tachyglossidae.